RNAcentral lists this ribosomal RNA (446 nucleotides) under uncultured bacterium. Its description in RNAcentral is "SSU rRNA". It matches the Rfam family "Bacterial small subunit ribosomal RNA", at positions 26 to 518 of the family's 1533-position model. The record is from RNAcentral.
AGAGCGAACGCUGGCGGCAGGCUUAACACAUGCAAGUCGAGCGGGCGUAGCAAUACGUCAGCGGCAGACGGGUGAGUAACGCGUGGGAACAUACCUUUUGGUUCGGAACAACACAGGGAAACUUGUGCUAAUACCGGAUAAGCCCUUACGGGGAAAGAUUUAUCGCCGAAAGAUUGGCCCGCGUCUGAUUAGCUAGUUGGUGAGGUAACGGCUCACCAAGGCGACGAUCAGUAGCUGGUCUGAGAGGAUGAUCAGCCACAUUGGGACUGAGACACGGCCCAAACUCCUACGGGAGGCAGCAGUGGGAAUAUUGGACAAUGGGCGCAAGCCUGAUCCAGCCAUGCCGCGUGAGUGAUGAAGGCCCUAGGGUUGUAAAGCUCUUUGUGCGGAAGAUAAUGACGGUACCGCAAGAAUAAGCCCCGGCUAACGUUCGCGCCAGCAGCCGC